CGCGUAGGCGGACUUUCAAGUCAGGUGUGAAAUCUAUGGGCUUAACUCAUAGCUUGCAUUUGAUACUGUUGGUCUUGAGUACAGGAGAGGAAAGCGGAAUUCCCGGUGUAGCGGUGAAAUGCGUAGAUAUCUGGAAGAACACCAGUAGCGAAGGCGGCUUUCUGGACUGAUACUGACGCUAAAGCGCGAAGGCUUGGGUAGCAAACA
This 207-nucleotide ribosomal RNA is filed under the name uncultured bacterium. RNAcentral's name for it is "partial 16S ribosomal RNA". It matches the Rfam family "Bacterial small subunit ribosomal RNA", at positions 568 to 774 of the family's 1533-position model. The record is from RNAcentral.